Molecule: ribosomal RNA, 258 nt
Filed under: uncultured bacterium
Lineage: Bacteria
Description: partial 16S ribosomal RNA
Rfam family: Bacterial small subunit ribosomal RNA
Source: RNAcentral
UACGUAGGGUGCGAGCGUUGUCCGGAAUUAUUGGGCGUAAAGAGCUCGUAGGCGGUGUGUCACGUCGGCCGUGAAAACCUGCAGCUUAACUGUGGGCGUGCGGUCGAUACGGGCAUCACUGGAGUUCGGCAGGGGAGACUGGAAUUCCUGGUGUAGCGGUGAAAUGCGCAGAUAUCAGGAGGAACACCGGUGGCGAAGGCGGGGUCUCUGGGGCCGAUACUGACGCUGAGGAGCGAAAAGCGUGGGGGAGCAAACAGG